Molecule: ribosomal RNA, 493 nt
Filed under: uncultured bacterium
Lineage: Bacteria
Description: partial 16S ribosomal RNA
Rfam family: Bacterial small subunit ribosomal RNA
Source: RNAcentral
GACGAACGCUGGCGGCGCGCUUAACACAUGCAAGUCGAACGGAAAGGCCUGCUUUCCCUUGUGGAUUGCGGGUACUCGAGUGGCGAACGGGUGAGUAACACGUGAGUGAUCUGCCCCCAACUUGGGUAUAAGCCUGGGAAACUGGGUCUAAUUCCCGAUAGGACUGCAGGGUGGUGCCUGUGGUGGAAAACGAUUUUCUAGUGGUUGGGGAUGAGCUCGCGGCCUAUCAGCUUGUUGGUGGGGUAAUGGCCUACCAAGGCGGCGACGGGUAGCCGGCCUGAGAGGGUGACGGCCACAUUGGGACUGAGAUACGGCCCAGACUCCUACGGGAGGCAGCAGUGGGGAAUAUUGCACAAUGGGCGGAAGCCUGAUGCAGCGACGCCGCGUGGGGGAUGACGGCCUUCGGGUUGUAAACUCCUUUCGACCGCGAGGAAGCCACCUGGUUGGAAGGGUGGUGACGGUAGUGGUAGAAGAAGCACCGGCUAACUACGUG